RNAcentral lists this ribosomal RNA (497 nucleotides) under uncultured bacterium. Its description in RNAcentral is "partial 16S ribosomal RNA". It matches the Rfam family "Bacterial small subunit ribosomal RNA", at positions 28 to 507 of the family's 1533-position model. The record is from RNAcentral.
GAUGAACGCUGGCGGCGUGCCUAAUACAUGCAAGUCGAGCGAACAGACGCGGAGCUUGCUUCUCUGGCGUCAGCGGCGGACGGGUGAGUAACACGUGGAUAACCUACCUAUAAGUCUGGGAUAACUUCGGGAAACCGGAGCUAAUACCGGAUAAUAUAUUGAACCGCAUGGUUCAAUAGUGAAAGACGGUUUUGCUGUCACUUUUAGAUUGAUUCGCGUUGCAUUAGCUAGUUGGUAAGGUAACGGCUUACCAAGGCAACGAUGCGUAGCCGACCUGAGAGGAUGAUCGGCCACACUGGAACUGAGACACGGUCCAGACUCCUACGGGAGGCAGCAGUAGGGAAUCUUGCGCAAUGGGCGAAAGCCUGACGGAGCAACGCCGCGUGGGGGAUGAAGGUCUUCGGAUCGUAAAACUCUGUUGUUAGGGAAGAACAAAUGUGUGAGUAACUAUGCGCGUCUUGACGGUACCUAAUCAGUAAGCCACGGCUAACUACGUG